AUUGAACGCUGGCGGCAUGCCUUACACAUGCAAGUCGAACGCGAAAGCGGAGCAAUCCGCAAGUAGAGUGGCGAACGGGUGAGUAAUACAUCGGAACAUUUCCAGUAGCGGGGGAUAACCUGUCGAAAGAUAGGCUAAUACCGCAUACGCCCUACGGGGGAAAGCGGAGGACCGCAAGGCUUCGCACUAUUGGAGUGGCCGAUGUCGGAUUAGCUAGUUGGCGGGGUAAAAGCCCACCAAGGCUACGAUCCGUAGCUGGUCUGAGAGGACGAUCAGCCACACUGGAACUGAGACACGGUCCAGACUCCUACGGGAGGCAGCAGUGGGGAAUUUUGGACAAUGGGCGCAAGCCUGAUCCAGCCAUGCCGCGUGAGUGAAGAAGGCCUUCGGGUUGUAAAGCUCUUUCGGUGGGGACGAAACGGUUCGUGCUAAUACCAUGAACUAAUGACGGUACCCGAAGAAGAAGCACCGGCUAACUACGUGCCAGCAGCCGCCGUAA
RNAcentral lists this ribosomal RNA (499 nucleotides) under uncultured bacterium. RNAcentral's name for it is "partial 16S ribosomal RNA". It matches the Rfam family "Bacterial small subunit ribosomal RNA", at positions 30 to 523 of the family's 1533-position model. The record is from RNAcentral.